ACGGAGGGUGCAAGCGUUAUCCGGAUUCACUGGGUUUAAAGGGUGCGUAGGCGGGUGUAUAAGUCAGUGGUGAAAGCUCCAGGCUUAACUUGGAAAUUGCCAUUGAUACUGUAUAUCUUGAAUGUCGUUGAGGUAAGCGGAAUGUUGCAUGUAGCGGUGAAAUGCUUAGAUAUGUUACAGAACACCAAUUGUGAAGACAGCUUACUAAGCGAUGAUUGACGCUGAGGCACGAAAGCGUGGGGAGCAAACAG
RNAcentral lists this ribosomal RNA (251 nucleotides) under uncultured prokaryote. RNAcentral's name for it is "partial 16S rRNA". It matches the Rfam family "Bacterial small subunit ribosomal RNA", at positions 525 to 775 of the family's 1533-position model. The record is from RNAcentral.